GAAAUCUCAAAAAUGCCUCACAAUAAAUAUACUAAUGGCAGUUAAGAUCUGCCUAUCUAGAUAUUGGAAGUCUACAAACAACUCAGGUCACUGAAAUCUUAAUUCAAAUUAAUCAUCAAGGAAUUAUGGAAAAAGCUUUCUUUUUCAAUAACAGUAAUAUUCCGAAGUAUAAUAAAAUUUGGUCUUAAUGGUUUGAAUACUAUAAAAAGGAAAUAUGACCUACAACAAAUCUGCUGGGCAUAGAUAGUUGGAAACACUGCAGAUGCACCUGCCUCUCUCUGCUCAACCUCAAUUAUUUGUUGGCCGCCUUUCCAACACCCCCCUCCCCCCCACCCUUUUCUUCUCCUUUGAGCGCACAUACUCGAUCAUCCUCUCUCGGACAAACUUCAAUUCAGGCUAAUUAAUUUAGGAUGUUGUCUUGUUUAUUUUGCAUUUUGUGAGUAUCUGUAAUUUAGACUUUUAACAAAAAAAGAGGUUCAUUUAGAAAUUCCUAUCUCCUCCUCUGAUAACCCUUAAUCACACACAAGGCCAGGCUAUUAACAGGGCUAGAGAUAAGGAAUUCUAAAUUAAACUCACUUUGUAAUGAAGGAAAUAUAACAAUGAGAUCUCUUUACAGGGGUGUGUGUGUAUGUAUAUAUAUAUAUGUGUAUAUAUAUAUAUAUAUAUAUAUAUAUAUAUAUACACACACACACAUAUGUUUCAAAUGUAUGCAAACUUGUCAGGCUUCCACAGAUAUAUCCCUUUAUAUAUUUAUGCAAAAAUGGAUGCAUAGCUGACAUGUAAACUUUAGCCUAUUUUGGAAUUUUGUAUAUUAAUUUCUCUUUAAAGAUGCAUAAAGAUUUAUGUACAUUUUA
Pelobates cultripes (western spadefoot toad) is the source of this 854-nucleotide non-coding RNA. NCBI's taxonomy places the organism in Eukaryota, Metazoa, Chordata, Amphibia, Anura, Pelobatidae. The record is from the annotation of a GenBank genome assembly.